Molecule: unclassified non-coding RNA, 429 nt
Filed under: soil metagenome
Description: partial contains 5.8S ribosomal RNA, internal transcribed spacer 2, and large subunit ribosomal RNA
Rfam family: 5.8S ribosomal RNA (bases 1-120)
Source: RNAcentral
GAUGAAGAACUCAGCGAAAUGCGAUACGUAAUGUGAAUUGCAGAAUUCAGUGAAUCAUCGAAUCUUUGAACGCAUAUUGCGCUCUUUGGUAUUCCGAAGAGCAUGCUUGUUUGAGUAUCAGUAAACACCUCAAAGACUUCAAUUUGUUUUGAAUGGCUUUGGACUUGAGCAAUCCCAACACCAGUCUUUACGAUCGGUGGAGGGUUGCUUGAAAUGCAGGUGCAGCUGGACAUUCUCCUGAGCUAAAAGCAUAUUUAUUUAGUCCCGUCAAACGGAUUAUUACUUUUGCUGCAGCUAACAUAAAGGGAGUUUGACCGUAUUGGCUGACUGAUGCAGGAUUUCACAAGGGUCGGCAACGAUUCUUGUAAAACUCGAUCUCAAAUCAAGUAAGACUACCCGCUGAACUUAAGCAUAUCAAUAAGCGGAGGA